This 389-nucleotide ribosomal RNA is filed under the name Escherichia coli. RNAcentral describes it as "bacterial LSU rRNA". It matches the Rfam family "Bacterial large subunit ribosomal RNA", at positions 1996 to 2384 of the family's 2925-position model. The record is from RNAcentral. Lineage: Bacteria; Pseudomonadati; Pseudomonadota; Gammaproteobacteria; Enterobacterales; Enterobacteriaceae.
AAGGCGUAAUGAUUUGGGCACUGUCUCAACGAGAGACUCGGUGAAAUUUUAGUACCUGUGAAGAUGCAGGUUACCCGCGACAGGACGGAAAGACCCCAUGGAGCUUUACUGCAGUUUGAUAUUGAGUAUCUGUACCACAUGUACAGGAUAGGUAGGAGCCAUUGACUUCGGGACGCCAGUUUCGAAUGAGGCGUUGUUGGGAUACUACCCUUGUGUUAUGGCUACUCUAACCCAGAUAGGUUAUCCCUAUCGGAGACAGUGUCUGACGGGCAGUUUGACUGGGGCGGUCGCCUCCUAAAGAGUAACGGAGGCGCCCAAAGGUUCCCUCAGAUUGGUUGGAAAUCAAUCGCAAAGUGUAAAGGUAUAAGGGAGCUUGACUGCGAGAGCUA